CAUGCAAGUCGAGCGCGCCCUUCGGGGUGAGCGGCGGACGGGUGAGUAACGCGUGGGAAUAUGCCCUUCUCUAAGGAAUAGCCUCUGGAAACGGAGAGUAAUACCUUAUACGCCCUUCGGGGGAAAGAUUUAUCGGAGAAGGAUUAGCCCGCGUUAGAUUAGGUAGUUGGUGGGGUAAUGGCCUACCAAGCCUACGAUCUAUAGCUGGUUUGAGAGGAUGAUCAGCCACACUGGGACUGAGACACGGCCCAGACUCCUACGGGAGGCAGCAGUAGGGAAUCUUAGACAAUGGGGGCAACCCUGAUCUAGCCAUGCCGCGUGUGUGAUGAAGGCCCUAGGGUCGUAAAGCACUUUCGCCAGAGAUGAUAAUGACAGUAUCUGGUAAAGAAACCCCGGCUAACUCCGUGCCAGCAGCCGCGGUAAUACGGAGGGGGUUAGCGUUGUUCGGAAUUACUGGGCGUAAAGCGCACGUAGGCGGAUUAGUAAGUUAGAGGUGAAAUCCCAGGGCUCAACCCUGGAACUGCCUUUAAUACUGCUAGUCUUGAGUUCGAGAGAGGUAAGUGGAAUUCCGAGUGUAGAGGUGAAAUUCGUAGAUAUUCGGAGGAACACCAGUGGCGAAGGCGGCUUACUGGCUCGAUACUGACGCUGAGGUGCGAAAGUGUGGGGAGCAAACAGGAUUAGAUACCCUGGUAGUCCACACCGUAAACGAUGAAUGCCAGACGUCAGCAAGUAUACUUGUUGGUGUCACACCUAACGGAUUAAGCAUUCCGCCUGGGGAGUACGGUCGCAAGAUUAAA
This 797-nucleotide ribosomal RNA is filed under the name uncultured Alphaproteobacteria bacterium. RNAcentral's name for it is "bacterial SSU rRNA". It matches the Rfam family "Bacterial small subunit ribosomal RNA", at positions 54 to 898 of the family's 1533-position model. The record is from RNAcentral. Lineage: Bacteria; Pseudomonadati; Pseudomonadota; Alphaproteobacteria.